GACGAACGCUGGCGGUGUGCCUAAUACAUGCAAGUAGAACGCUGAAGGAGGAGCUUGCUUCUCCGGAUGAGUUGCGAACGGGUGAGUAACGCGUAGGUAACCUGCCUGGUAGCGGGGGAUAACUAUUGGAAACGAUAGCUAAUACCGCAUAACAGUAGAUGUUGCAUGACAUUUGCUUAAAAGGUGCAAUUGCAUCACUACCAGAUGGACCUGCGUUGUAUUAGCUAGUUGGUGAGGUAACGGCUCACCAAGGCGACGAUACAUAGCCGACCUGAGAGGGUGAUCGGCCACACUGGGACUGAGACACGGCCCAGACUCCUACGGGAGGCAGCAGUAGGGAAUCUUCGGCAAUGGACGGAAGUCUGACCGAGCAACGCCGCGUGAGUGAAGAAGGUUUUCGGAUCGUAAAGCUCUGUUGUAAGAGAAGAACGAGUGUGAGAGUGGAAAGUUCACACUGUGACGGUAUCUUACCAGAAAGAGACGGCUAACUACGUG
This 495-nucleotide ribosomal RNA is filed under the name uncultured bacterium. Its description in RNAcentral is "partial 16S ribosomal RNA". It matches the Rfam family "Bacterial small subunit ribosomal RNA", at positions 28 to 507 of the family's 1533-position model. The record is from RNAcentral.